Molecule: long non-coding RNA, 1322 nt
Filed under: Callithrix jacchus (white-tufted-ear marmoset)
Lineage: Eukaryota; Metazoa; Chordata; Mammalia; Primates; Cebidae
Description: lncRNA (ENSCJAG00000084764.1)
Source: RNAcentral
AUGACACAUUGUUAGUUCCUGAAAACACAGCCUUGAUCCUCACAAAACUUACAUUUUAAUUUCCAAUGCUUCACAUGACACGUAACAUCAUUAUUGGUCAUUUGGAAUACCACAGUAAUUUAGAAAAACAGAAUAGUGCUUACAACAUGCACAGUGUUCUCAGCAAUACAAGUGCCGAAUAAGAAAAUCCUUCCACCUCUGCCAGAUAGGCACAGUUUUACAUGCUUUUUUUGAAAUAUGUAAAAAUUACAAAACAAACCUCAUCAGUAUAAUAUAAUUAAAAGGCCAAUUUUUUUCUGGCAACUGUAAAUGGAAAAAUAUACGGACUAAACAUAGCCCUGUGCUGUAUCAUGGCCACAGUAUAUUGUAACCUUUGUCUAAUCAUUGGAUUUAUUGUGUUGCACAUAGAUAUGGUAGUCUGCUCUGUAUAUUUUUCCCUUUUUAUAAUGUGCUUUUCACACUGCUGCAAACCUUAGUUACAGCCUAGGAAAAAGAAUACUUCCUGAAAUAAAACUAAGGUGUCAUCCUUACCCUUCUUUGUCUCACCCAGAAAUAUGGUGGGGGGAAUUACCUGCACUAACCCCUCUCUCAAUAAAGAUAUUACUGUACUCUGGAAUUUAGGCAAAACCUUAAAUCUCCAGGCUUUUUAAAGCACAACAUAUAAAUAAAAGCUGGGAAAGUAAACCAGAAUUCUUUAGAUUGUUCCUCAUGAAUAUCCCCCUUCCUCUGCAAUUCCCCAAAGUGGUAAUAGAUGGGUAGAGGCAGGUCAGGUAAAUGACUUAGCUUGCCUCUCAAUUCAUUCCUGCUCUUCCUCUCAAAGGCUGAAGGAAGGGCCUUUCCAGUCCUCAGGACCUGCCCUUCACCUAGUCCCUCCUGACCCAGGGAUGGAGGCCACCACACCCAUAGUGUGGUGAUACAGAGCACUAGUUGUCACUGCCUGGCUUUAUUUAAAGGAAAUGCAGUAGGUUUCCUCUGUAGAGCUCUGGAAAGGCUAACUAUAUAGAAGUCUUGUAUGUUUUUACUUGCUCAAGUAUUUCUCACAUCUUUUGUUACCAGAGUACCAUUCCAAUCUCUUAACUUGCAGUUGUGUGGAAAACUGUUUUGUAAUGAAAGAUCUUCAUUGGGGGAUUGAGCAGCAUUUAAUAAAGUCUAUGUUUGUAUUUUGCAAAAAAAAAAAAAAAAAAAAAUUCUUAACUUAUUUUCUUUGAUUUUGCUCUUGCCUUCAUUGGGAAAUAGAAACAAAAUAUCCUCCCAACUCAAAAAACCUCUCCACAAUUGCAGAAGAGAAAGUAACAGUCUGGUUAUUAAAUAAGCAUUUAACG